RNAcentral lists this long non-coding RNA (1880 nucleotides) under Malus domestica (apple). RNAcentral describes it as "long non-coding RNA (MDOM_LNC012063)". Lineage: Eukaryota; Viridiplantae; Streptophyta; Magnoliopsida; Rosales; Rosaceae. The record is from RNAcentral.
UGACCAACCAUCAAGCGCCUAGGCAAGCCUUAAACAACCUUAGGUGAGACUUUUUAGAACACUGGGUUUUAGGUCAAAGCAGAACAUUAUUCAGCUUCAGGGAAUGCCGAAUGCUUUUUCCAACAAGCUCAUGGGAUUCAGCUCCAGGUUUUAGGUUAGAGCCAUUUAUAUUUGUAGAAAAAAUUAGGGUUAAGUACAUAUAACUAUUCAACCUUUUGGGCUGAUUUCAAAUUAGUCUCAACCUUGUAAAACAUUUCAAAUAACUACCAAACAUUUUAAAACUUAGAGAUUCAUUAGGUCACUUGUGUUAACUGAUGACUUUACAACAUUAAGUGAUGAUGUUUCUAGCAUUAAAUGAUGAGGUGGACACAUACUAAAGUUGGUCUCUACUAAUCGUCACUUUUUUUAGCUCUAAUUUCCCAAAUCGACUUCUUUCAGCCAAUUUAAGACAUAAUUUUUUUUUAGCUAAACUGCUUCAAUUUCAAAAUCCAAAGCUCUAUAAACGACUUAGGAGUAAAAACCCACUUUAAAAGUUGUCGACAUCAUCACUAAAUGACAAUGAACUUAACAUAUGUCCACUUUUCAAAAUGUUAGGUAAUUAUUUAGAAAUUUUUUAAAGAUUAAGACUAAUUUGAAAUCACCCCUAAAAGUUGAAUAGUAAUCUGAAUUUAACCCAAAAACUUAUGUCCACAUUAUUUAUGACAUUCCGUCUGUAUAUACUAUAUAUUGCCAAAUGCUCCAUGCUAUUGUAACAAAAUAAUCUCACAUAUAUUCCACCAAUGUUAUUGAAGAGCGGAAGCAAGUAUUGGGCUGUAGCAAAUAAAGGCUUUUGGACCAAAAAAAAUUGUAUUAAUUUUUGUUAAUUAUCUAGCCCAAAGUUGCUUUUGUAUUAAGUUCUGUUAUUUAUCUAGCCCACAGUUGCUCAAAAGAAAAUUUAGAAAUUUGAUUUAAGUUAAUAAAUGGGUUUACAUAUCGACAAAGGUCAAUAUUCAUUUCAUUUCAAUUGAAACAAUUCUAUUCUUAAAUUUUGUUUAAUACAUUCGAUACACUAAACUUCAAAAUGAGCUGGCUAUAAUAAUUUGGUUCGAAUUUGCUUUUGGUGAAAAUCAAAUCUAAGACCUCUAACUAACAAGUUAAGAGGAAUAUCAAUAUACCAUAGUACAAAGUUAAAAUUCUACUCUUAAGCUUAAAGUCAAUAAAAACUAUUUUCCUCAACAACUAAAGUCAAUACCACUUAAUAGAUUUUCUCUUUAUUGACCUCUCCGUAAAGCACAAAAUAUUGAUUGACUCAAUUCUAAUCAUAAAAUAUUUUGUGACUUAAACAAAUUGCCCCAAAAAAACUUAAAAACUCUAUACUGUUUGCUUUUUUAUAUAAGCAAUGUUCUACGCUAAUUCUUAAUAAUGUGAAAUUUUCUCCUAUACUAAAAUUAUGAGCAAAUUAAAUUGAAGGCCCAUUACAACCAGCAAGUCUGAUCCAGUUACAAACCAGGCACAUGAAGCAUAGCAUUGUCCAAGCUGUCUGUUACCACUAUAUCAAUUCAACUGUGGAAAGGCAAAGCCCAAACAAGAACACAAAUGUUCCAAAAAGAAAAAGUAGCAAGCAAAAAACAAUGAGGAUGCCUAUCUCAAGUAAAACAACUUUUGUACCCUUGCACUUCUUAUGUAAAAAUAUAUGACAAUUUGAGAAAUUUCUUCAGUAAUGUGGCAUUGAAUAAUAGACGAAUGAGUGGCCGGGAUCAAAAAUAUAAGAUCUAAACAUUUGUGAAAAUCAAAUCUAACGGCUAAAACAUAUGUAGCAUUGGAGCCACAUUCGACCAUUUGAUAGAAAAAGAAUUGUGUACUAAAAAAGAUUUCUCUAGUCACUAGGUGAUGAAAAAAAU